Gavialis gangeticus (Gharial) is the source of this 4640-nucleotide RNA transcript. It is a transcript of the gene named neurotrophic receptor tyrosine kinase 2, with no coding region annotated. Lineage: Eukaryota; Metazoa; Chordata; Crocodylia; Gavialidae. The transcript is spliced from 15 exons. The record is from RefSeq and is a predicted model, not a curated record.
AUCCAGAAACAAGCUUUCAAGUUUAUCUAAGAAGCCUUUUCGCCAUCUGAGUUUGUCUGAUUUGAUCCUAGUGGACAAUCCAUUCAAAUGUUCCUGUGACAUUAUGUGGAUCAAGAUAUUUCAAGAGACCAAGUUUUCUAAUGCAGAAACUCAGGAUUUUUAUUGCAUAAAUGACAACAACAAGAGGAUAGCCCUGAUGGAAAUGCAGAUCCCAAACUGCGGCUUGCCUUUGGCAAACUUAAGCAGUUAUAACCUCACUGUUCUGGAAGGAAAUAGCAUCACAGUGUAUUGUGAUGCCACUGGAGUGCCACUUCCCAACGUAUCCUGGGCUUUCACUAAUCUUGUUUCAAACCAUGAGAGUGAUACAAGUAAGAAUCCUGCCUCAUUAACCAUAAAGAAUGUUUCUUCUAAGGACAGUGGACUACGGAUUUCUUGUUUAGCAGAAAAUAUUGUGGGAGAAGACCAAGCUUCUGUUGAGCUCAUGGUGUUCUUUGCACCAAAUAUCACAUUUAUUGAAUCUCCAACCUCGGACCACCACUGGUGCAUUCCAUUCACUGUGAAAGGGAACCCUAAACCCACACUGCAGUGGUUCUAUGAAGGGGCUAUACUGAAUGAGUCAGAAUACAUCUGUACUAAAAUACAUGUUAUCAAUCAAAGUGAAUACCACGGCUGCCUUCAGUUGGACAACCCUACGCACUUGAACAAUGGAGCUUAUACCUUACUGGCAAAGAAUGAGUAUGGAGAAGAUGAGAAGCGAGUUGAUGCUCAUUUCAUGUCAAUGCCAGGAGAUGGUAGUGGCCCAAUCCUAGAUCCUGAUCUUUAUGAUUAUGAAACCACACCUAACGAUAUUGGAGACACCACAAAUAACAGUAAUCAGAUCACUUCUACGGGUUUUAUCAACACAGAGAAUGAAGAUAGCAUCACUGUGUAUGUUGUGGUGGGGAUUGCAGCACUGGUGUGCACUGGCUUAGUGAUAAUGCUCAUUAUUCUGAAAUUUGGAAGACACUCUAAGUUUGGGAUGAAAGGUCCUUCUUCAGUUAUCAGCAAUGAUGAUGAUUCAGCAAGUCCCCUCCAUCAUAUUUCAAAUGGGAGUAACACUCCAUCAUCUUCUGAAGGCGGCCCAGAUGCUGUCAUCAUUGGAAUGACAAAGAUUCCUGUCAUUGAAAAUCCUCAGUACUUUGGGAUCACCAACAGCCAACUGAAGCCAGACACCUUUGUUCAACACAUCAAGAGACACAAUAUUGUUCUAAAAAGAGAGCUUGGAGAAGGAGCUUUUGGAAAAGUCUUCCUGGCUGAAUGCUAUAAUCUCUGUCCUGAACAGGACAAGAUCUUGGUGGCAGUGAAGACACUAAAAGACGCUAGUGAUAAUGCUCGGAAAGACUUCCACCGAGAGGCAGAGUUGCUGACUAAUCUACAGCAUGACCACAUAGUGAAGUUUUAUGGAGUUUGCAUAGAGGGCGAUCCACUCAUCAUGGUCUUUGAGUAUAUGAAGCAUGGAGAUCUCAACAAAUUCCUGAGGGCACAUGGACCAGAUGCAGUGCUGAUGGCUGAAGGUAAUCGUCCAGCUGAGUUGACCCAAUCCCAGAUGCUACAUAUUGCUCAGCAGAUUGCAGCUGGUAUGGUUUAUUUGGCAUCACAGCACUUUGUGCAUCGGGAUCUUGCCACGCGGAACUGCCUCGUUGGUGAGAACCUGCUGGUGAAGAUUGGAGAUUUUGGAAUGUCCAGAGAUGUGUACAGCACUGAUUACUACAGGGUUGGUGGUCAUACUAUGUUGCCCAUUCGUUGGAUGCCUCCUGAGAGUAUCAUGUACCGGAAGUUCACCACAGAGAGUGAUGUUUGGAGCUUAGGGGUCGUUUUAUGGGAAAUUUUCACGUAUGGCAAGCAGCCAUGGUAUCAGCUCUCAAACAAUGAGGUGAUCGAGUGUAUUACUCAGGGCCGAGUCCUGCAGCGACCCCGCACAUGCCCAAAGGAAGUGUAUGACUUGAUGCUGGGUUGUUGGCAACGGGAGCCUCACAUGAGGCUCAACAUCAAAGAAAUCCAUUCUCUCCUUCUGAACUUGGCCAAGGCUUCUCCAGUCUAUCUGGAUAUUCUAGGCUAGACGCUCCUAGCAUUUCCUCUUGGGCUGGGUGAAUGAAUAUGCUCAACUGCCGCUGAACUCCAUUACAAUGUGUUCUUAAUUCUGACAGUAUUAAUGACAAAGAUGAGGAGAAGCUUUCAAAGGGCAAGCAAUGUGCACUUCUCCAUCUGUAGACACAGUAUUGACUUUUCAGACAUUACUGAGACGUAUCUCGUAUCUCUUUCUCUCACACUUCUGUUUCUCUCAUUUUUUCUCUCUUCUCUCUUUCUAAUCAACCUGGCUUCUGCAUUAUUGUAUCUCUGCAUAGACAAAGGCCUUAAAAACCGAAUCUGUUAUAUCAGCAGAGACUCCAGUUUGCCCACCGCAACUAACAAUGCCUUGUUGUAUUCAUGCCUUUGAUGUGGAUGAAAAAAAGGGAAAAAAAUGACUCAAACUUUGGGACUUCUGCUGUACAGAUACUGGGAGUUUCUAUGGAUUCACCUCUACUUUUUUGCUUUGCCAUGUGGGUGGAAAAAGAUGACUGGUGUUCUCUAUGGGAAACAUAUUUCUGGCUGAGAUAAAGCCAGAUGGAAAGAAAACAGCAUUGCAUGAUCCACUAUAUGGAGGAACUGUGGGAUCAGAUGGUAUCCAACCCCACUAAAGACACUAAAAUAAUUUAAUGGAAGGAAGGAAAGGAGUUGGAUUUAACUUUUUAACUUGGGUGGAGGAAAUACUAGAAUGCCAGAAAUAUAUAGAACAACCAACAUUUUUGUCCAAAAGAUUGUAUAAAAGCAGUCCUACCAUUCUCAUCUUAUCCAUUGAUUUCUCACAGGGAAAUUAACAGAUUGGCUUCAAAGUUCCAAGAAGAGAUUUUGAUUUACUAUCAUUUCUGGUUUGGGGCUAUUGAUUUAUUGUUCAAGAGCAACAUUGCUGUUCCACUGAUAUUUACACUUGUUGGAAGUAACAAAAUAAUUCCAAGAAUGAGCUGGAAUAUUCAGACUGAUAGAACAAUGGUAAGAACGUCCAAAACCCUGCAGUAAUAAUAGCAGCAGCUAGUACUGGGCAUUUUCCACAUUCUGUCCUUCACCCUCAAUAAAUCUGCAGGACUCCGCAACUGGCUGUGGAGAAGAGUAUUUGUAAAGCAACAGCACCCCAUGAUGCAUGAUGGAGUGUACAAGUUUUACAAAGGAGCUCAUUCAUUUUGAUUUGUAAACAAAUAUAUCUCUAUAUUGUCUACAGUUUAAUAAACAAUUGCCAUUUAUUUCUCUUUCUCUCUCUCUUUCUCAUGCUCCUCUUUGAAGCUAGUUUUGUUAUGGUUGAUGUAGACUUUUACAAAACAAAAGAGAAAAGAAAUUACCCAACAAAAUGAUUGAGUCACUGGCUGAUGAAGUUACAAUGCGCAUGCGUUAGAACAAGACUGUCUCUGGGUUGCUGCAGCCUGUGAAUGGAUUUCAGAUACUGCUAUCAGGAUACAAGGGGUGGGUAGGGGAGGCGUUGGGGUUUCUAGUUGAAGAUGAAGGUUUUGAUAGCACAGAAAGCUGUAUUUUCUUGUUGUCAGGGCUGGGAUGAACCACUGCUACUCUGAGUCAAGAGGUCCUUGAAAAGCCUUAGUUCAAACAUCUUAACAUCCUUUAUUUUUUAUUUUAUUUUAUUUUAUUUUUGCUACAUUCAUCACAAAUAUGAAGCAAAAAAAUGUCUACGUGUUGCAGGGAAAACACUGUGAAUUUCACAACAACAACCAAGUGACUAUUUUGCCAUCUUUUUAACAUACGUCUCAGGAGAAGAAAUGGGAAAUGAUGGGUAUAUUAUUUUACUGUCUAUGCAUUCUAGACCAGGUCUAUGGUGUUUUUUGUUCGCUUGUUGAAGGUUCUGAGCGAAGAUUGGCUGAAAUGUAUUUUAUAAACACAGAAUACUUUGGGCAAGCAUAGUAGAAGCUGCUUGUAAUGGGGCUGUUUGACAGGAAGAUGUAAGAAAACAAAAAUCAAAUCAAUUUUUUUUCAGAGGCCUAUACCUUGCAGCUUAAUGUAUCUUUCUGUAACUUAAAGAAACACAAAUGUUGAAUAAGCAGCUAAGAAUGUUUUAUAUACAAGUAAUUCAAUUCAAUGUGGAUGUUAAAUUACAUCACCAAUAGAGAGAGAAUCAAUUUACUAUAUACUUAAUAGUCCCAGCCCAGCUCUCCACCUAUACUUUAUGUAUAUAUUUCUAGAUAUCACUCUCUCUAUCUCUCAAGACCGAGAGGGAGAUAUCUACAUAUAAAUAUAGAACUCUAUAUUGUCACUAAAACUGUGACCUGGUGUUUAGAGCUAUCUUUCUCCUUUCUUUUUAGUUUUCUUUUUUUUUAAUGUAAUGUCUCUGUGCAGCUAUUUAGUGGUUCUUGGGUUGCAAUUCGUUUAUAGAAAUCCAUUGCUUUAAAAGAUCCAUUGCAUCUUGGCUGAUUUCAAAGUGACGCCUGAGUAUCAGUGUUAAAAAGUUUUGUUUGUGAAUCAUGUGACCAGCUUCUCUCAACAUGACAUGGAAAGUCUCUUGUACUACAGUGUAUUUAAUAAAAAUGAUGUCUUACAAUAAACAGUGUCAUCCAAAAGAA